UCCCUUGUGGCUCAAUUGGUAGAGCAUGGUGCUUGCAACACCAGGGUUGUGGGUUUGACUCCCAUGGGGGAC
This 72-nucleotide transfer RNA is filed under the name Salmo salar (Atlantic salmon). It matches the Rfam family "tRNA". From Rfam's summary of the family: Transfer RNA (tRNA) molecules are approximately 80 nucleotides in length. Lineage: Eukaryota; Metazoa; Chordata; Actinopteri; Salmoniformes; Salmonidae. The record is from Rfam by way of RNAcentral.